UACGUAGGGGGCAAGCGUUAUCCGGAUUUACUGGGUGUAAAGGGAGCGUAGACGGCUAAUCAAGUCAGAAGUGAAAACCCAGGGCUCAACCUUGGGACUGCUUUUGAAACUGAGUAGCUAGAGUGCAGGAGAGGUAAGCGGAAUUCCUAGUGUAGCGGUGAAAUGCGUAGAUAUUAGGAGGAACACCAGUGGCGAAGGCGGCUUACUGGACUGCAACUGACGUUGAGGCUCGAAAGCGUGGGGAGCAAACAGG
Molecule: ribosomal RNA, 253 nt
Filed under: uncultured bacterium
Lineage: Bacteria
Description: partial 16S ribosomal RNA
Rfam family: Bacterial small subunit ribosomal RNA
Source: RNAcentral